ACGCUCGACACCUACGGGGGGCAGCAGUGGGGAAUAUUGCACAAUGGGGGAAACCCUGAUGCAGCAACGCCGCGUGAAGGAAGACGGUUUUCGGAUUGUAAACUUCUGUUCUUAGUGAAGAUAGUGACGGUAGCUAAGGAGCAAGCCACGGCUAACUACGUGCCAGCAGCCGAGGUAAUCUGAGCGGGCUGGCAAGGC
Molecule: ribosomal RNA, 198 nt
Filed under: uncultured bacterium
Lineage: Bacteria
Description: partial 16S ribosomal RNA
Rfam family: Bacterial small subunit ribosomal RNA
Source: RNAcentral